CAAGCCUUUGCUGUCAGUUGACUGAGCAGGGUCUAUCGACCAUUCUAGCUAUUAUAACGGAAACAUUUGUAUAUUUAGGCCAACAGGGGAGUCGGACACAUCGCAUUGCGUUCUCUGGUGUGCUUCUUUAGGGGUGGGGAUUUUAAGGAACACAAUCCAAACCUGCAUGGGGAUAUAUGGAAACCUGAUUGGCCCAGUUGAGAAGUGCCUGAAGACCAAGACUCUGCUGCAGACUCCCAAAACCUCCUCACAUCCUCUCUGCC
Long non-coding RNA from Salvelinus sp. IW2-2015, 263 nucleotides. RefSeq lists it as uncharacterized. The record is from RefSeq and is a predicted model, not a curated record. Lineage: Eukaryota; Metazoa; Chordata; Actinopteri; Salmoniformes; Salmonidae.